This 1626-nucleotide ribosomal RNA is filed under the name Triticum aestivum (bread wheat). Its description in RNAcentral is "partial small subunit ribosomal RNA". The record is from RNAcentral. Lineage: Eukaryota; Viridiplantae; Streptophyta; Magnoliopsida; Poales; Poaceae.
AUGCUUGUGAAUUUUACGGUCCAGUUCGUUGUGCCGAUGUCUCCUCUGGUCCAUCUGCUCGCUCUGCUCUUCCUUCUCUGCUCGUCUCUGGCUUUGGCUUCCGGGUCCGAGCCAACCCUUUCAUGGGCCUGUGGAGAUGAACAAGCUUCCAUCUUGGAGACCUCUGAUGGCCGUCAAAACCUGUCCAUCAAUGGGGUUUUGGUGAAGGACCGUGCUCAAGGCUGCGACAGGCUCCGGUCCUACUUUGGGAGUGGUUGCCUCAGCUGCGAUGAGCGGUCGCAAUCUUGGAGGAGUGCGUGGAUGCGCUACUGUGGCGAUGAUGGGAGUCAAUCGAGCUAUGUAACUUCAACUCCAAACAUACCAAGGAGGCUUUUGAAGCAGUCGUCAGAGAAUGGCGCAAAAGCUGAAGAUGACCCAUGUAGGAACAUGGGUCUACACGAAAAUAAACAUGAUGCCAAUGAUUCUUCCGAAAAAGAGGAUCCUCUGUUGGCUGUGCCAGGUGUGCUUCUCAUAUGCUGUGGUCUCAUGCUCCCAUGUUUUCACGCCGAAAGAAAAGAAGGAAGAAGACACAAUACUACAUCCAUUCAGCGCAAUGCUGUUGAUUCUCUUUCAUCCUUCGACGUAAGCACAUCAUCCGAGAAGAUCCCACCAACUCCACAUCGAAUACCUCCAAGCCCAUCUAGAUUCGCACCGUCUCCACAUAUUGCUCGAGUUGGAUCUGUUGACUUAAGUGUCCAGCAGAUUCUCAGGGCGACUCAGAAUUUCUCACAUUCAUUUAAAUUGGGUGAAGGAGGAUUUGGGACUGUCUACAGGGCUGUAUUGUCAGAUGGCCAGGUUGUUGCAGUCAAGAGAGCUAAAAAGGAUCAGUUUGCGGGUCCCAGUGAUGAGUUCAGCAAUGAAGUAGAACUGCUUGCUAAGAUUGACCACCGGAAUUUGGUGAGAUUACUGGGUUAUACUGAUAAAGGAAAUGAGCGGAUUAUUAUCACUGAGUAUGUUCCAAAUGGCACUUUGAGAGAACAUCUCGAUGGCCAACAUGGCAGAACCCUGGAUUUUAAUCAACGCCUAGAAAUUGCGAUUGAUAUUGCUCAUGCACUCACUUAUCUCCAUCUAUAUGCAGAGAAGACAAUAAUCCAUCGCGAUGUGAAGUCAUCAAAUAUACUUCUAACAGACAGCUACCGGGCCAAGGUGUCGGACUUCGGGUUUGCUAGAAGUGGCCCUAGUGACACAGAGAAGACACACAUCUCCACGAAAGUGAAAGGAACUGCUGGCUACCUGGACCCUGAGUACCUAAGAACGUACCAGCUCACUCCUAAAAGUGAUGUCUUCUCUUUUGGCAUACUUCUUGUAGAAAUUAUUUCUGCCCGUCGACCUGUAGAGCUGAAGCGGGCCGCUGAAGAGAGGAUUACUAUCAGAUGGACUUUCAAGAAAUUCAAUGAAGGCAACAUGAGAGAGAUACUGGACCCGCUGCUGGAAGACCGCGUGGACGAGGAGGUGUUGGAGAAGCUUCUGAGUUUGGCGUUCCAGUGCGCCGCUCCCACGCGGGAGGACCGUCCGACCAUGAAGGAGGUCGGGGAGCAGCUGUGGGAGAUCAGGAAAGAGUAUGGGAAGAGCGUCAGGAGAGCGUGA